This 856-nucleotide ribosomal RNA is filed under the name uncultured ANME-2 cluster archaeon. RNAcentral describes it as "bacterial SSU rRNA". It matches the Rfam family "Archaeal small subunit ribosomal RNA", at positions 62 to 922 of the family's 1478-position model. The record is from RNAcentral. Lineage: Archaea; Methanobacteriati; Methanobacteriota; Methanomicrobia; Methanosarcinales.
GAGGGGUAAGCCCUCGGCAUAUUGCUCAGUAACACGCGGAUAACCUGCCCUUGGGUUUGGGAUAACCCCGGGAAACUGGGACUAAUACCGGAUAGAUCAAAGAAACUGGAAUGUUCUUUGGUUUAAAGCUCCGGCGCCCAAGGAUGGGUCUGCGGCCUAUCAGGUAGUAGUGGGUGUAACGUACCUACUAACCUACGACGGGUAAGGGUUGUGAGAGCAAGAGCCCUGAGAUGGAUUCUGAGACAUGAAUCCAGGCCCUACGGGGUGCAGCAGGCGCGAAAACUUUACACUGCGGGAAACCGCGAUAAGGGGACCCCGAGUGCCAGCACCUAGUGCUGGCUGUCCAGCUGUUCAAAAAACAGUUGUUAGCAAGGGCCGGGCAAGACCGGUGCCAGCCGCCGCGGUAACACCGGCGGCCCGAGUGGUAGCCGUUAUUAUUGGGUUUAAAGGGUCCGUAGCCGGCUUAUUAAGUCUCUUGGGAAAUCUGGCGACUCAAUCGUCAGGCGUUCAAGAGAUACUGGUAGGCUUGGGACCGGGAGAGGUGGGAGGUACUCCAGGGGUAGGGGUGAAAUCUCGUAAUCCUUGGGGGACCACCGAUGGCGAAGGCAUCCCACCAGAACGGGUCCGACGGUGAGGGACGAAAGCUGGGGGCACGAACCGGAUUAGAUACCCGGGUAGUCCCAGCCGUAAACGAUGCUCGCUAGGUGUCAGGUGCAGUGCGACCGCAUCUGGUGCCGUCGUGAAAACUUGAAGCGAGUCACCUGGGAAGUACGGUCGCAAGGCUGAAACUUAAAGGAAUUGGCGGGGGAGCACUACAACGGGUGGAGCCUGCGGUUCAAUUGGAUUCAACGCCGGA